This 625-nucleotide ribosomal RNA is filed under the name Pseudomonas aeruginosa. RNAcentral describes it as "bacterial SSU rRNA". It matches the Rfam family "Bacterial small subunit ribosomal RNA", at positions 56 to 675 of the family's 1533-position model. The record is from RNAcentral. Lineage: Bacteria; Pseudomonadati; Pseudomonadota; Gammaproteobacteria; Pseudomonadales; Pseudomonadaceae.
CGAAGGUCGCAGCGGAUGAAGGGAGCUUGCUCCUGGAUUCAGCGGCGGACGGGUGAGUAAUGCCUAGGAAUCUGCCUGGUAGUGGGGGAUAACGUCCGGAAACGGGCGCUAAUACCGCAUACGUCCUGAGGGAGAAAGUGGGGGAUCUUCGGACCUCACGCUAUCAGAUGAGCCUAGGUCGGAUUAGCUAGUUGGUGGGGUAAAGGCCUACCAAGGCGACGAUCCGUAACUGGUCUGAGAGGAUGAUCAGUCACACUGGAACUGAGACACGGUCCAGACUCCUACGGGAGGCAGCAGUGGGGAAUAUUGGACAAUGGGCGAAAGCCUGAUCCAGCCAUGCCGCGUGUGUGAAGAAGGUCUUCGGAUUGUAAAGCACUUUAAGUUGGGAGGAAGGGCAGUAAGUUAAUACCUUGCUGUUUUGACGUUACCAACAGAAUAAGCACCGGCUAACUUCGUGCCAGCAGCCGCGGUAAUACGAAGGGUGCAAGCGUUAAUCGGAAUUACUGGGCGUAAAGCGCGCGUAGGUGGUUCAGCAAGUUGGAUGUGAAAUCCCCGGGCUCAACCUGGGAACUGCAUCCAAAACUACUGAGCUAGAGUACGGUAGAGGGUGGUGGAAUUUCCUGUG